CCCGACUGCUAUCGGAGGGAGAGGUACCCAUGCGAGUCGGACGUCCCCCUUCUUCGGGGGGCGUGGCGUACGGCUCAGUAACACGUAGUCAACCUGCUCUGGAGACGUGGACCACCCCGGGAAACUGGGAUUAAUCCAUGAUAGGUCAUCUCAAAAAGAAGGAGAGAUGGCUUAAAGGGCGUGCGAGAGCUUCUUUCUUGUAUCCGCUCCAGGAUGGGACUGCCACCGAUCAGGCUGUUGCCGGGGUAAUGGCCCACCACACCUGUAACCGGUACGCCCCUUGAGAGAGGGGGCCCGGAGAUGGACACUGCGAGAAGGGUCCAGGUCCCACGGGGCGCAGCAUGGCGCGAAACCUUCGCAAUGCACGAAAGCGCGACGCGGAUCAUCACGACUGCUAUCCUCCUGAAGGGGAUCUUAUUGCUCGGACUGUACAAUGUUCCAUUGCACACC
Molecule: ribosomal RNA, 450 nt
Filed under: uncultured archaeon
Lineage: Archaea
Description: bacterial SSU rRNA
Rfam family: Archaeal small subunit ribosomal RNA
Source: RNAcentral